RNAcentral lists this ribosomal RNA (1019 nucleotides) under Triticum aestivum (bread wheat). Its description in RNAcentral is "partial small subunit ribosomal RNA". Lineage: Eukaryota; Viridiplantae; Streptophyta; Magnoliopsida; Poales; Poaceae. The record is from RNAcentral.
AUGGCCAUGAUUUCCCUCCACGUAUUACUCGGCCUUCUCCUCCUCUUGCACGUCGCUCCUCCAAGCUCCUCUGACGAUACUCUCGCGGCUGGUCAGGUGCUCACCGUCGGGGACAAGCUCGUCUCAGCAAACGGCAGGUUCGCGCUCGGCUUCUUCAACUGGUUCCAGGUCCAGCCACCGAGCAACAUUGACAUUAUGAAAAGGCUUGAUGGUACCCGCCAGGGAGAGAAGCAAUUCAGAGCCGAGGUGAGCUCAAUUGGACUGAUCCAACAUAUCAACCUGGUGAAUUGAUUGGUUUCUGCUGCCAAGGAGAUAACAGGUUGCUUGUGUACGAACACAUGUCAAAUGGAUCUCUUGAUUGUCAUAUAUUUAAAAGUGGUGACGUUGUCCUAAAUUGGGAAACAAGGUACCAGAUAGUCCUCGGAAUUGCUAAAGGCUUGUCCUACUUGCAUCAGAGUUGCCGCGAGUGCAUCAUACACUGUGAUAUUAAGCCAGAAAACAUACUUCUCGAUGCAUCACUUUUCCCCAAAAUUGCAGACUUCGGGAUGGCAACAUUUAUUGGAAGGAAUUUUAGCCGAGUCCUUACCACAUUCAGAGGAACAAUAGGUUAUCUUGCCCCGGAGUGGCUUAGUGGAAUUGCUAUCACACCAAAAGUUGAUGUUUACAGCUUUGGCAUGGUAUUGUUCGAGAUCAUAUCAGGAAGGAGAAAUUCUCCUCAAGAAAAUAGUGGCACCAGUGAUCUUGUUGAAUAUUUUCCUAUCCAAGUCAUCAGCAAGCUUCAUGGGGAAGACAUGCAGAGUUUGGUGGAUCCACGGUUACAAGACAUAUUUGAUUUGGAACAAGCUAAAAGGGUAUGCAAAGUUGCAUUAUGGUGCAUCCAAGAUAAUGAGUCUCAGCGGCCCACAAUGAGUGAAGUGGUUCAGGUUCUUGAGGGUCUCACCGAGAUUGAUCUGCUUCCGAUGCCAAGACUACUUGCAGCUAUAACUGAACACCCUAAUGGAACUGAAACUUCAGUGUAA